GCGCCCGUAGCUCAGAUGGAUAGAGCGUCGGCCUCCGAAGCCGAAGGUCGCUGGUUCGAAUCCAGCCGGGCGUA
This 74-nucleotide transfer RNA is filed under the name Acidobacteriota bacterium. RNAcentral's name for it is "tRNA-Arg". It matches the Rfam family "tRNA". From Rfam's summary of the family: Transfer RNA (tRNA) molecules are approximately 80 nucleotides in length. Their secondary structure includes four short double-helical elements and three loops (D, anti-codon, and T loops). Further hydrogen bonds mediate the characteristic L-shaped molecular structure. tRNAs have two regions of fundamental functional importance: the anti-codon, which is responsible for specific mRNA codon recognition, and the 3' end, to which the tRNAs corresponding amino acid is attached (by aminoacyl-tRNA synthetases). tRNAs cope with the degeneracy of the genetic code in two manners: having more than one tRNA (with a specific anti-codon) for a particular amino acid; and 'wobble' base-pairing, i.e. permitting non-standard base-pairing at the 3rd anti-codon position. Lineage: Bacteria; Pseudomonadati; Acidobacteriota. The record is from RNAcentral.